This 253-nucleotide ribosomal RNA is filed under the name uncultured bacterium. Its description in RNAcentral is "partial 16S ribosomal RNA". It matches the Rfam family "Bacterial small subunit ribosomal RNA", at positions 524 to 776 of the family's 1533-position model. The record is from RNAcentral.
UACGGGGGGGGCAAGCGUUGUUCGGAAUUACUGGGCGUAAAGGGGUCGUAGGUGGCCAACUAAGUCAGACGUGAAAUCCCUCAGCUUAACUGGGGAACUGCGUCUGAUACUGGUUGGCUUGAGUGCAGGAGAGGAAUGCGGAAUUCCAGGUGUAGCGGUGAAAUGCGUAGAUAUCUGGAGGAACACCGGUGGCGAAGGCAGCCUCCUGGCAUCAUACUGACGCUGAGGCGCGAGAGCGUGGGGAGCGAACAGG